This 253-nucleotide ribosomal RNA is filed under the name uncultured bacterium. RNAcentral describes it as "partial 16S ribosomal RNA". It matches the Rfam family "Bacterial small subunit ribosomal RNA", at positions 524 to 776 of the family's 1533-position model. The record is from RNAcentral.
UACAGAGGGUGCGAGCGUUAAUCGGAAUUACUGGGCGUAAAGCGUGCGUAGACGGUUAUUUAAGUCGGGUGUGAAAGCCCCGGGCUCAACCUGGGAAUUGCAUUCGAGACUGAAUAGCUAGGGUACGGUAGAGGGAAGUGGAAUUUCCGGUGUAGCGGUGAAAUGCGUAGAUAUCGGAAGGAACAUCAGUGGCGAAAGCGACUUCCUGGACCAGUACCGACGUUCAGGCACGAAAGCGUGGGGAGCAAACAGA